AAUUCUCAAAAACCUUUCUUUGGAAGGGAUUUUGGACUUGGAGGCCUUUUGCUGGUUUCACCUUGAAGCGAGCUCCUCCCAAAUGGAUUAGUGGGGUCUGCUUUGCCGAUCCUUGACGUGAUAAGAUGUUUCUACGUCUUGGGUUUGGCACUGUCACUCGGGCACCCGCUUCUAACCGUCUCGUCGACAACGAUGGCGUUCCGGUCACCACCGUUUCAUCGGUGGGAGGCUUGACCCACCAAAAAA
This 246-nucleotide unclassified non-coding RNA is filed under the name uncultured Russula. RNAcentral describes it as "sequence contains ITS2". Lineage: Eukaryota; Fungi; Basidiomycota; Agaricomycetes; Russulales; Russulaceae. The record is from RNAcentral.